This 970-nucleotide long non-coding RNA is filed under the name Phaseolus vulgaris (common bean). Its description in RNAcentral is "long non-coding RNA (PVUL_LNC003478)". Lineage: Eukaryota; Viridiplantae; Streptophyta; Magnoliopsida; Fabales; Fabaceae. The record is from RNAcentral.
UCCAACAAAGCACCGACCAGAACUCCACUGAAGGCUGCAGAAAUCUGUGUUUUGAGCAGUCCCUACCAGCCAUGCCCUUGAUCCAACUACCAAGAUUGUUGGCACACUAACAUGAACCACUGUAAAAACCUGCACAAAACAAACAAGACAGCCCCAACACACGAUAUGUGCGGCAAAGGAACAGAGUACCACCCCUUUGCCAAGUUCUCCAUCCCUUCAGCUAAGUUUUCCUUAAAGCACCACACAUUCAAAUGCAGAGAAAAAAGACAACCCCUUCCCUACGGGAGGCCGUUGUGAAAUGACGAGCGCUUUGCUUUUCCAUACCCUUGACAAGGAGACAUUUCACACAAAGAAUCACUUCCACUCUGUUACAUGCACCAGACUUCAUCACACUCCUGCCACGCCCCUACCAAACCCGCAAAACGUGCACUGCCAAGGCAGCUAUGCCACAACAUAUAAGGUCUGUUCCAGCUUGGGCUCCAACCAAUCAGCGAACCAAGAGAAAGCACUGGUUUGGAUACAAAAGCCAGUCAGAAAAGGCGUACGAAAAAUCUGAUGCUUUAUGCUUUAACCAUAACCAUGACUACAACUAAGCGUUCUGGAAUAUCUCAUCAGAAUCAGGCACCCCUUGUCUGAAGAUCACAACAUUCCUAUGCUCCCAAAUGCAGCUAACGAUAGCCGCCCAAAAGCCUAACCAAACCUGGUUCUGUUUACUGGAGAGAUGUAUUUGAUGAAAAUUCAUAAAAUGGUUCAUAAGGUCCUUAUUUUGGACACCUAGAGUGCCAAUCCACCUAUAACACCGAGACCAAACUUGUUGUGCAACACCACAUUCUAAAAAAAGAUGUUGGGAUGAUUCCUCCGAUAGAUUGCAAAGAGCACAACGGGUUGAUGUCACAGGCACACCUCUACUAACCAAAUUGACUCUAUUAGGGAUUCUAUCAAUGAGGAUUCUCCAAGCUGUUGUCUGAAC